UGUUGAAAAAGAUAGAACUGAAGAGGUGAAAGUCUUUGCUUACAAGUUUCCUAUUAAUGGAAGGAGAAGACUGUUUUAAUAUUAAGAGUUACAUGGGGGCUAAGAAAUUGAAGUCUGCUUUAGAGUGAUCUGCAUGUAUAAAAAGAAAAUAUAUUUCUAAAUAUUGUUUGUUAUCUGACUGUGGAGCUGAUUCAACACCAAGCCCUGGGGAAGCUGUAAUAGGUAGCAGAGCAGCUGAAGAGAAGCAUCUUUGAUCUGGGGAACUCAUGGAGGGGAAGUGGCUCACAUGGCCACAUCAGCAUUGCAUUGAUUUGGACUUUUCUGCUGUGCAGGAUAAUUGACACUACCCUGUGGCUAGAUGGUCCUCAGCUGAAAGUAGUUUUCCAGGAGGAAAAAAAAAAAGAAAAAAAGAAAGGAAAGAAGAAAGAAAAAAAGAGNNNNNNNNNNGAGAAGAGAAGAGAAGAGAAGAGAAGAGAAGAGAAGAGAAGAGAAGAGAAGAGGACUGUAAGAUGGCUAGUUAUCAUCAAGUACCAGUGUUAGACAGCAGAAUGUCAUUUGACGUUGUGAUGGGGACUGGUUUUAAGAAUCUCAGAUGUCAUCCUUUGCAAAUUGGCAAAUAAACAUAAGAUCUUUGUGCUGUGAUUAUGGAAUGGCAUGGCUUUUUCUUGUGUUCAGUGUUGACUCUGCCAAAGAACAGAAACAGGUGAUAAACUGUUUAGGGCCUGAAGGCAGCCUGAAUGGACUACUCAGAGAUGACCAAGGGAAAAACAUGUAGAAAAAAGAGGGAAAAUGGGAUAUGGUCUCAAGAUGAAGACGUGGGGGAUCACACGCUUCGAGAACUUGGUUACAAUCUGAAGUAAGGAAAUGUUGCUCCUUGGGGGCCUGGCUGACAAAUAAACACACAACCUUGAAACA
Molecule: long non-coding RNA, 915 nt
Filed under: Anas platyrhynchos platyrhynchos (common mallard)
Lineage: Eukaryota; Metazoa; Chordata; Aves; Anseriformes; Anatidae
Description: lncRNA (ENSAPLG00000024045.1)
Source: RNAcentral